GGGAGGUCACCGCCUAAUCGCUCCACUGUCGCAGCGGAGUGAAUCGGGGACCCACUUACUUCCCUGCGCCGCGGCCGACGAGGCCGUGUCACGGGGAUCGGGGUGAAUCGCGGGAGACCGCGUAGGGCCAUCUCUUCCGGCCCGAACCCGACAGCUAACCCGGUCGGCGGUCAGGGAGAACUA
RNAcentral lists this small RNA (183 nucleotides) under Gordonia hirsuta. Its description in RNAcentral is "c-di-AMP sequence". It matches the Rfam family "c-di-AMP riboswitch aptamer (ydaO/yuaA leader)". From Rfam's summary of the family: This family represents a conserved RNA structure found upstream of the ydaO and yuaA genes in Bacillus subtilis and related genes in other bacteria. The ydaO/yuaA element is thought to act as a genetic "off" switch for the ydaO and yuaA genes in its native state. RNAcentral also lists the same sequence under 1 other name. Lineage: Bacteria; Bacillati; Actinomycetota; Actinomycetes; Mycobacteriales; Gordoniaceae. The record is from RNAcentral.